This 547-nucleotide ribosomal RNA is filed under the name uncultured Alphaproteobacteria bacterium. RNAcentral's name for it is "bacterial SSU rRNA". It matches the Rfam family "Bacterial small subunit ribosomal RNA", at positions 1 to 547 of the family's 1533-position model. Lineage: Bacteria; Pseudomonadati; Pseudomonadota; Alphaproteobacteria. The record is from RNAcentral.
UUGGGAGCGCUCCCAUAUGGUCGACCUGCAGGCGGCCGCGAAUUCACUAGUGAUUAGAGUUUGAUCCUGGCUCAGAACGAACGCUGGCGGCAUGCCUAACACAUGCAAGUCGAACGAACCCUUCGGGGUUAGUGGCGCACGGGUGCGUAACGCGUGGGAAUCUGCCCUUGGCUUCGGAAUAACAGUUAGAAAUGACUGCUAAUACCGGAUGAUGUCUUCGGACCAAAGAUUUAUCGGCCAGGGAUGAGCCCGCGUAGGAUUAGGUAGUUGGUGGGGUAAAGGCCUACCAAGCCGACGAUCCUUAGCUGGUCUGAGAGGAUGAUCAGCCACACUGGGACUGAGACACGGCCCAGACUCCUACGGGAGGCAGCAGUGGGGAAUAUUGGACAAUGGGCGCAAGCCUGAUCCAGCAAUGCCGCGUGAGUGAUGAAGGCCUUAGGGUCGUAAAGCUCUUUUACCCGGGAUGAUAAUGACAGUACCGGGAGAAUAAGCUCCGGCUAACUCCGUGCCAGCAGCCGCGGUAAUACGAAUCGAAUUCCCGCGGCCG